Molecule: ribosomal RNA, 228 nt
Filed under: Triticum aestivum (bread wheat)
Lineage: Eukaryota; Viridiplantae; Streptophyta; Magnoliopsida; Poales; Poaceae
Description: partial small subunit ribosomal RNA
Source: RNAcentral
AUGAUCUGGCAUGUACAGAAUGAAAACUUCAUUCUCGAUUCUACGAGAAUUUUUAUGAAAGCGUUUCAUUUGCUUCUCUUCAAUGGAAGUUUCAUUAUCCCAGAAUGCAUCCUAAUUUUUGGCCUAAUUCUUCUUCUGAUGAUCGAUUCAACCUCUGAUCAAAAAGAUAGACCUUGGUUCUAUUUCAUCUCUUCAACAAGUUUAGUAAUAAGCAUAACGACCCUAUUG